RNAcentral lists this transfer RNA (74 nucleotides) under Chloroflexota bacterium. RNAcentral describes it as "Chloroflexi bacterium tRNA-Pro". It matches the Rfam family "tRNA". Rfam says of the family: Transfer RNA (tRNA) molecules are approximately 80 nucleotides in length. Their secondary structure includes four short double-helical elements and three loops (D, anti-codon, and T loops). Further hydrogen bonds mediate the characteristic L-shaped molecular structure. tRNAs have two regions of fundamental functional importance: the anti-codon, which is responsible for specific mRNA codon recognition, and the 3' end, to which the tRNAs corresponding amino acid is attached (by aminoacyl-tRNA synthetases). tRNAs cope with the degeneracy of the genetic code in two manners: having more than one tRNA (with a specific anti-codon) for a particular amino acid; and 'wobble' base-pairing, i.e. permitting non-standard base-pairing at the 3rd anti-codon position. The record is from RNAcentral. Lineage: Bacteria; Bacillati; Chloroflexota.
CGGGGUGUGGCGCAGUCUGGCAGCGCGCAUGGUUUGGGUCCAUGAGGCCCCCGGUUCAAAUCCGGGCACCCCGA